RNAcentral lists this long non-coding RNA (293 nucleotides) under Nicotiana benthamiana. Its description in RNAcentral is "long non-coding RNA (NBEN_LNC040082)". The record is from RNAcentral. Lineage: Eukaryota; Viridiplantae; Streptophyta; Magnoliopsida; Solanales; Solanaceae.
GAGGGGUACAAGUUUGUAGUAAUAGAUGUUAGGUAGAGGAUGAAAACAUAUAAGAAAACAUUGGUCAUGCUGAGAUAAGAGAAAAGAUAAUCACAUAGACAAACAAGUAUGCUAGCUUCACAGGAAUCAAACAGAGUCAUAGUGGAUCACACAAAGAAAAGCAAGAGACAUAUUAGACUAAAGGGAAAGGGAAAUCACAGUGACAUGUUAGUUACAUGGUAAAAAUAGAACCAUAAGUAAAAGCACAAAAGGAAUAACAAGAAUCUUAGCAUGAACUGAAACAUGUUGUUUUG